UACGAAGGGGGGCUAGCGUUGCUCGGAAUUACUGGGCGUAAAGGGCGCGUAGGCGGAUAGUUUAGUCAGAGGUGAAAGCCCAGGGCUCAACCUUGGAACUGCCUUUGAUACUGGCUAUCUUGAGUUCGGGAGAGGUGAGUGGAAUGCCGAGUGUAGAGGUGAAAUUCGUAGAUAUUCGGCGGAACACCAGUGGCGAAGGCGACUCACUGGCCCGAUACUGACGCUGAGGCGCGAAAGCGUGGGGAGCGAACAGG
This 254-nucleotide ribosomal RNA is filed under the name uncultured bacterium. Its description in RNAcentral is "partial 16S ribosomal RNA". It matches the Rfam family "Bacterial small subunit ribosomal RNA", at positions 524 to 776 of the family's 1533-position model. The record is from RNAcentral.